Molecule: long non-coding RNA, 10362 nt
Filed under: Oreochromis niloticus (Nile tilapia)
Lineage: Eukaryota; Metazoa; Chordata; Actinopteri; Cichliformes; Cichlidae
Description: lncRNA (ENSONIG00000022333.2)
Source: RNAcentral
AUGGAGUGCAGCUUUAAAUGCCAGCUCUGCCUCGACACAUUUAGAAGGCUGGGCUAUUACAAGAGGCACAUAUUAUCAGAUGUACAUCACCAGAAACUGAAAAACCUUUUCCCAAAUGAUAAGUUUCAGAAUGCUGCCAAAGGUGUACCCCAUAUCAUUUUUGCGGAUCCAGAAAAAAAGAAUUGCUUCAAACAUCCCAUUGUGGGCUUGUCUGCGCUGACUCUGUGUUUCAGUCCACAGUCAUGGUCUUCGUUUUACUUGUGUCACAUCUGUGCCGAGAAGCAUUUACCUAGUGAUGUUUUAAGGCACUUCUUUUCUAUGGACCAUUACAGCAACUACAUUAAUUGCAUGGAUCCCAAUGCAAUGAGUUUCUCCUGGAUCCCCAGCAAGCAAAUGAAAGAGACUGAACUCAAAAACAGAGUAAAAGAAGAAGGGCCUAUGGACUUGCAGAUGCUGCAUUUACCUGAUCAUCUUAUGGAAAAGCUAAUAACCUGCACCUACUCAGAAGUGAUGCUCACUCUAGGUGAAAAUGAGAAGCUUCUCAAGCUGAUUCAAGCUUUCAAGCCAGAGAGGAAGACGAUCCUGGCUUACCAAAAAGACAGCAACAGGAAGCAUCCGCUUCUUGGCAUGCAGCACCUCGUCGAGUGCAUUUGUGUCGGAGCAGAGGAGGAGAAGUAUUACCUCUGCACGCUCUGUGGCCUUACAGUGGCCGCCCACGUGAUCAUCAAACACAUCCUGAGCUUUGACCACAUCUUUUGGUAUUUUAAAGAGUGGCAUCCCUCUACAUUGAUGUCAAAAGAGUGCUACACAGACUACACGCCCUCCUUUGAAUCCAUGAUGCUUGACUUGGCAAAGCAGACGGAGAAGAUUCAUGGAGAAAAUGAUUUGAAACGAGUGAGCCUGGAGCCUGCUGAAUUCAAGUCCAUAAACUUUAAUAGCUACCCAGAAGCUUUGACGACCCUGAACUUGAUCAAGAAGUGCAGCUUGAAACCAGCCAUCAAACCAGGGAAGAAGCUGGAGUAUCAUGCUGUCAAAAAUCAGUCAGCACCUGCAAGCGAACCUUCAAAGCUGCUCACAUACUACCCAAGAUGUAAACUGCUGUGUCAGGACUGCCGUGUGACGUUGAAAAGCAUAUCUCAAUAUCUCAAUCAUCUGUCAAAACCAAUACACAAGGAGAUCUUGUGGAAACUCUUUGAAGAAGGAUCUGAAGGCUAUGAGAAAAAAGCUCAGUUUUUCCUUCACUUACACUCGUAUGUCAUGGAGUGCUUCAAGAAAAAACAGCCAGUCAUUGGUACAUCCUUGAUUGUGUCCUGCAUUACCACAGAAGCUCAGGCAGAGCCUUUUUACAUAUGCUUUGCUUGUCAGGAGUGUGUCUGUCAGUCCUUGAUCGAGCCACACUUAAACUCCCGAAAACAUGUUGUACACACGCUGCUGUUUGAGAAUCCCUGGCGGCUGCCUUUCGGCUGGGAGAAUCUGCAGGAUGAUCAAACACUAAAGUCAAAGGCGUGGGAGGAGGAGAUGGAGAGAAGACCAAAGGAGGUGGUUCUGAAGGUUCUUGAUAUGCCAUGGUCAGUAUUUUACAGGCUCACCCCUCCUACUUUUGAAAAAGUACUGGAGGGACUUGAACAGCAGCGCAAGGUCUUGAAGAAUGAAGUUCCACCUUGUCAAACAUAUAGCAAACUCCAAGGAAAUGAAUCAUUUCCUCUACUUGGCAUCGAGUUCAUCGUGAUGUAUGAUUUAUUUGUCAAAGAACCCAAUUCCCCAGAAGCACAUUUUCUGUGUUUGCUCUGUGAGAGGAGGCUGUCAGAGCACGAAUGCCACGACCAUAUAUUCAGCCGUGAACACGUGGCAAAAUUCCUGGACUGUUUCCACCCAGGCUCACUGGAUUCCAACGCUGAUGCAGAGACACUACUGGACUUGGCAAAACAGGCAGCAACAAUUCACAAUAAAUCUCACAUACAGGCAAUAUAUUUGCAGCGUCCGAUUAAGGAGCCAUACUCCUACUCCCAAGCAACAAGAAUCUUGGAAUGUGUAAAUAGGAAAACUGGGAACAAAAAGCUUAAACCCCAAAUAAAACGUAAUAGAAAACUGGUUCCGAGGAUAACUGUAAAAGAUGAGCAAUGUGUGAGAGUUGUCUGUCAGAAAAACAGCAGCACCAGCAUAGCCGGUGUAGAAGAAAUCAAAAAAGAGCGUGACGAGGAAACACCGACACCAAGUGAAAAUGACUCGGCGUUGAAAAGUGAGGUGGCUUCCAAAACUACUUCAGAAGUGAUGGCGAAUCCAGGUGAGGUGUGUCGGGCGAUAAAGCAGGAGCCAGAAGAGGCUAAAAUAAAAGGAUCAACUGGGGCGAAGCAAGGCUGCCACAACACCAACAAAGAUAAUGGUGCAGAUGCUGGGAUAGAAGAUGGCAGAAGUAGCAAAGAUGUCCCAGCACAGCUGAAGAAUUACAAAGAAAUGGAAAGAAAAAGACAGCACGGUGUGUCUGAAACAUCGCAAGAGGACUCAUGUCCUGCUGAGUGUGUGGGGAGAGAAAUGGGCCCUAAAAGACAGCGUCUGACCUCCAGAGAAGACUCGUGUGAUGAAGCCCCAAAAAUGUCUGAUAUUAGAAUAAAGAAGGAAAAAAAUGAAGAUGAAGCCUGCAAAGCAGCAAUUGACAAAGGUUUUAGCGCCCUGCUUAAAUGCUGCUGUCCUCAGCAUGAGCCGGUCUACCUCUGCGAGUCCUGCUCUUUGAAGAUCUCAGAGAAGGACAUCGUCAGGCAUCUGACUGGAUUUGAUCAUCACAAGCUCCAGCCGGUGGAUGUUUAUGUAAAUGAAGAAGUUUACAGUAAGGUCUCAAAACAAAGCUUUCAAUCGGCUAUAGAGACAGUGAAGGCAUUUCAGACUUCAUCCUCAGCUCCUACCUGCGUAAAACCUGUGGACACUUCAGUCGACCAACAUGAUGACAGUACAAAGGGCAGCAUGAAGGUGGUGAAGAUGGAGAUUGAUGACAAUCAGGAGGAGUCUGCGUUAUUUAAAGGCACCUCUGAGGCAGGACUUGAGUUAUUCCAAUCAACUGAAGAGGACAAAAAGAGUACCAAAGCACCCAAGCCAGCUAGCAAAUUUGUCACUUGUCCAAUUACUCCCAAAAGUGGAGAAAACGUAAGCCCGUGUGUGUCAAAUGCAAGUGGCACAAAGACUGCCUCCAAAGCUGGUAUUACUCCAAACACAAGUGUGGAAUCAAUAAAAAUUGCUUCCAAGCCUGACAUGGAAGAAGUGAGACCGGUUACGUCCAUGUGCACUGCAGCCACUGCUAAAAAUCCUGCAACUUCUUCCCAACGGAUAGGAACUGCCUCCACCUCUAAGGUAUCUGCCUCAAAUGUCAAGUCAACUGCAGAAUCUCCAGCAGUGCGCAGAACUGGAGCUGCAUCGAGAGUGAGGGCUACUUCUUUAAACGGUACACCUCCUCAGACUGAAUCCACAGUGGUGCGAGAGGCUACUUGCAAAACUGCACCUUCCUCCAGAAGUGAAAAGUUUCCAUCUCAUCAGUUAAAAACCAAAGCCACCCCUCAAAUGGCACCUGUGGCUAAAAAGCCCAGAACCUCAGUUAGAUCUGAAAGUGUGGAGACUCCUGCAAAGGCCGUACAUGUGAAGAAUUCAGAGGGGCCAAAUGCACCACAUUGUCAUAAAAGUAACAAACCUGACGCUCCUCAUCAGGCCAAGGGCACAUUUGUCAGGCCUGAACACAAGAAGCCACCCACAGAGCCACCCCAAACCUCUAUGAGUAAUAAGACAAAGCCAAGUGAAGGUCUUCCUAAAAUAGGCUUAAAUGAGCUGAUUGUGGUAUUUUGCGAGGAGAAGCAGCAAGUCUACUGUAAGCUGUGUUCAGUGAAGCUAACCAGUUCCAGUGACUAUCAUCUAAUCAGCUUAGACCACUGGAAAAAAUAUGUGAAAACAAAGUAUCCUGAAUGGACCGCAAAGCCAUCAGAGAUGGAGAAAAAACUGAACGAGAUAGCGAUUCCCUUGACCGAGGCUGAGAGGAGUCUCGGACAUCGCAGACCACAGAUUCUGAAAGUGAAGAAGGACAUGUAUGAAAAGCUGGCACAUCUUCGAGAAGAUGAAGCUGUCAAAUAUGUGAGGUCAAUGAGUAAGAGAAGCUUGCGGCUCUCAUCAACCUCCCCAGCUGAUUCUGCCUCUGCCAGUCCAUGCGACGUUUCAAGCUCAGAUGAUGGGAUAAAUAAAAUGUCAGAACUUUCUACUUACGAAUGUUCAACGGUGGAGAACAAAAACCAGCACCAGGCACUGUUGAUCCAGAAGGAAGAAAUGAGCUCUAACUCAAAAGUGGAAGCGGACCUGACUGCAUGGGAGCCAAUCGGACAGAGCUCGGAAGGUGAAGACAUACAAUCUGAUGACAUGAUUCUAGAUGAGCUUCAAGACGAGGAAAUGGCAGAACUUCAUGGCACUGACUCGGACAUCUUUGCUGAAUCCCCUGGUGGAGGCACUAGCGACCACAGACCAAAGCAGUUGAAGAGCGAAGAAUUUCAGGACACCUGGACAUUGCCAGCAUGCCCACAAACAGCUUUGCCUGUAAAAUUCAGCUGCUCAGAGCCGUUCUCUGUAGCUCCUUCAGCUUAUACAGAAGGGCAGAACCAGCUGAGACCAAGGCAGAAGAUGGACCACGUGUCUAGAGGCAAUCCAGUAUCUGAAGAGCACAGCGCAUCACAGGCAUUCUUAAGAACUCCAACAGAGGGAAGAAAUCAGCGCUCUAGUUCUGACAGCCAUUUGAUCCUAUUCUUGAAAACAAAGGGACUGGAUGCAGAACCAAUUGUUGGUCAGGGUUAUGUGUUGGAGUGCCGCGGGAUUUCUUUGGAAACCAUUUUCUUAUGCACGUGCUGCGAGAAGGUGCUCUCUCACCGUGACGUCUGUCAGCACAUGGUCAGCUCUGACCACCAGUUCGAAUACAUGCGGAAAGAACACCCUGGGUUUCUCCACAAGUUCUGGGAUGAAGACCUGCCUCUGGACAAGAGACUGGGACUCUUAAAGAAAGUUUCCUGGAAGAUUUCAGAGCGGGAGCAGGAUGAAAAACCAAAGGUUACAACGCUGACAAAGGAGUUGCAUGAACGUGUUCAGACAGCUCCAUUCAGUGAAGCUGUAAAAAUGGUGCAAAAUAUGCAUACGGACAAAUCAAAUAAACUGGGCAUGGCGCAGGACAUCGAUAAACACAGUGUCUUGGAACCACAGCACAAGAGUCAGCAGUCUGAUGAGCGGCCAAUUCCAAAUGAGUCUCUUACCACAGAAAUGCAAUCAGCUUAUAGACCUGAGCGAUACCACAGAAGUGACAAUGCUCAACUCACACAGGAGCCUCAGUUAGACAAAACUCAAACAGUUGGUGACUUGGAUGGGUUCAAAGAAAGACAACUCUGGAGUCCUCUUAAUGUGAGCGGCUCCAGCUCGAAGGAUGAUCCUGUUGCCUCGCUGUUGCCCCGUCCUGGCUCAUGUUUCAGCCCUAAAGAGACCUGCUAUAAGCCUCCCAUGCAAACAAAGCUCACGCCACCAGUCUCUGACUAUCAGCAGCCUGCCCUCUGCUUGCAUGUGAAACAGGAAGAGGCGCACUUGGAACCACCAUGCUCUUCAGCUGCUCAUCCUACUGUCAGCCAAACGCUGUCAGUGCCUCCCAGAGAUCAGUGUCUUCCAUCCAGGAAAAGGCCAGCUGAUACAUCUGUUAAAACUUGCACCGAUAACCCGCUUGACGACACUUUGCUAUACAAAAAUGAUAUAGACUGGAAUCUCUGUGUACACCUGAUUAGUGAACUGAGAAAUGCUAGAAUGAAAGCUCUAGAUGCUGUUGAGACUUUGGACUCGUCUGCUGCCAGUUCAUCUGAAAGUGUGGAAAAUAGAUUGAAUUUGCAUACAGUGACAAAAACUCCAACUUCCUCUGCCUCAUUUAAAAGCAUGCCUCUGACAGGAAACCCUGCUAAUGCAGGUAGUGAAAACCAACCUGUCAGUCUGAGUGGAAGCUCAGAAGGCACUUCAUCUUCUCUGGACCAUUUGAUGACUGGAAAUCCUUUUCAAGUUGAAGCUGCAUCUGGUGCAAGGCCUACUACCGCCACUGUUGAGACCAAAGACCCACAGCAUCCACAAGCUGUCACUGAUCAAAAUGCCUUUGAAAAGUUCAGCCCUGUUUUCUUUACAGACACCAGCCUUAACCCAGGACAGAUCCCUCAGCCACAUGCUGACUCAGAGGCUGAGAGCUCUGGAGUUGACCAGUUGCCCAUCAGUACCAUUGUAACCGAGAGGCCGAAGUUUAUGGGACACUAUACAGAACAGCACCACACCGAGGUGAACAGCAGCCAUCAGGGCAGUUUCCCUACAAUUUCUGGUGACAACCCCACUGCGUUUUUGGUGCCUUCAGCCGGAUACGACUCAUACAGCCAACUGGCUUAUGUCGCAAGUUCACAUCCAGGGUACGCACCGCCUCAGGCCGUAUUAAGUUACACAACAGGAGAAAACCCUCAAGUUUAUACUGGAGCUUUAAACCCAAGUGAAGGAUACACUGCAGCGACAAUCUACCCGGCAAAUUUUUGUCCACAGCUGGCCAUCAGCCAUUCAAGUUUGCAGUUAUUUGGGCAAGCUGCGGUGAUGAUGCAAUACUACCCGUCAGUGACGAGGAGAUAAGUGACUGGUUUUUGGUUUUUGUACAAAAAAAUGUUGCUGUGCGUUUUGACAUUUGAUUUUUGUCAUACUUUUUUGGUUUGGUAAUAAAAAAAGAAUUAAUGACAUAUUAUAAAUUACUUUUAUUCUUUCAAAGUAAUGUUUAAAUGGAUAGUUUAACAUGCAUUUUAAAAAAAAAAAAAAAAAAAAAAAAAAAAAAUCAUUAUCUUAUACUUUAUAGUUGGGCGCUAGCUAUCAUUAGCAUUUGGAAAACCUGAGGUGCAAAUUGACACUUUCACUGCCUUUUUCUCAGUAUUUGUGUUCUCACUUGCACUGCUGUACAGCACAUGUCCUGAUCACAUUUUAAGAAGCUAGAUUUAGCCUGUUGAAAUUCUUGUUUUGUUUUUUGUUCUGUGGUUCAUUUUGAGUAAAGCGCACAGAUUUUCUGUGCAAGUAGCAAAAAGUUAUGUUUAAAACUGUUUGUAUUCAGUAUGAAGGGAGUGUCAAAAUCUUGGGAAAUCCCAUUUAUUUGUAGCUUGUUUUUAAAUCUGAUAAUAGCAGUUUUUAUAUAAAUUUGUAGGUUUUUAUGUUUUGUUGUCUGAUUUUGAUUAAAAAACAAAAAAAAAUGUGUUUGUUUGUAUUUUUAUUUUUUACCAGUUGGAUGGAUGGAUGGAUGGAUGGAUGGAUGGAUGGAUAAUAGAUUUCAAUUGUCUGAUGAAUAAAAGGGAGGGAAACUUGUACACUAAGGGGAGAUCUGGGUAUGAUUGGGCACAAAGUUUAGAGGGAAGGGAGAGAGACACCUUCUCUAUUUUUAAUAUUAAGCUUUAAACUUUCCUUUUUGAUGGAGUUUAGAGUGAGUCCUGGAUCAGAUGACUGUGAAUCCUCCCAUAGGCAUGCUGCAGUAGGUCUAGCCUGCUUAUCUGCAUGUCUCCCAGAUUGCACCGUUUCUUCUUCACUCACUUAAAAAAAAACAAAAACAAAAAAAACAAAAACAAACCAUUCUGCAUUUUCACUCUCUUGUCCACGGUGUGCCUUUGUCCUCUCUUCCUCCCUUCACUCCCAACAGUAUGCAGCAGGUGGCUGCCCCUUCCUGAACCUGGGUCUGCCACAGGUUUCUUCCUGUUGAGAGGGAGUUUUUCCUUCCUACUUUUGCCAAAGCACUUGCUCAUAAGGGGUCAUCUGAGAUAUUUUCCCAGUAUUAUUGUAGGGUCUUUACCUUAGAAUAUAAACCGCCUUGAGGUAACUCUUGUGAUUUGGUGGACAUAAAGUUGAGGAACUUUUUUUUUUUUUUGUUAAAUGGUAAGAACCUGAACUGGACACUAACUUGUUUUGGCUUCCAGACUGAGCCAUAGCAGAAAGAAGUCUGAGAGCUAUAUCAAAGGAAAGCUGCCUCAGUUAUCUCUGCAGCAGUAGUUUUAGUUUUGUAGUCAUCACAGAUUUUAUUAUGCACUUUAAACUUUUAAAAGGCUAUUCCAUUCUUAAAAGUGGCAGAUCUCUGGGAGAAAAUGCCUUGUUGGGACAUAAAGGUCAUAAGUGAAUGCCAACAGUAACUUGCAUAACCCUGGUUUUAACCAAGGUAUGUAGAAGAGUAUCUCUGAAGGCACGACAUGUGGAGAUUUAAAAACAGAUGCGCUACAGGAGCUGAAGAUCUCACUGGAUGUCAUGCCUGUCAGCUCAGAACAGGAAACGGAGACCAUUGACCACAGUGUACUGAUCUUCUGAAGUCUGCUUCCAGUAUGAUAACACACCAUGUAACAAAGCUUUUGCUCUAUUGCCCUGCUAUUAACAGCGUUGGUGCCUAAUGAGUAUGUCAGGAAGUAAGCAUUCUGUAUCUGAGGUAGAGCAGGCAGGUUUUUGACUGGUGAUGUUAUGUGUACCCACAGACGUUGACAUAGAUCAUGUAAACUGUGUAGGGACUUGUGAAAAGACACCUUUUUUUUUUUUUCCUGGAAAGUGUACAAACGCCAGAUAUUAAAACUUUAUACCUACAUGACAGGUUGGAAAUGUUAGGGGAACAUACACCGUUAAAAAAUAAAUAUAUUAAAAAACAAAUCAAUAGAAGACAUUAACUUACCUUUUGGUUUUGAUGUUACUUUGAAUCCAGCAUUCACAUGGGUUAUGAUUUUGGUUCUGUGUAAUUUAAAUGUUCCCUUAAUAUUUCUAUUUAAUUUUUUAGAGUAGAGAGUGUGUUGGGUUCAAAAUAUUGGGAAGAAAAUACAGGAGGAAUGCAAGUAACCACACUGGUCCAAAAGAUGAGUUCAAGCGAUGAUUUUAAUGAAAAACACACGCGUGGGAGACACACCCUGCAGAACAUCAAAGGUGGAUCUCUCAGACAAUGAACAAACCAAAGGUUUUUAUAGGGUCGGGUUAAUACAUCACCCCUUCAUGCAUUAAGCAGAUACAAUACUUGCAUACGUCAAAUCAAAACCACAGACCCCCAGUUAACUUUUUGACCCAUUUUAAAAGAACAUUAGCUUCCAUCUUCCUCCAGGUGCAGUCCCCGCAACCACAGCCCUAACAUAGCUGUUAGACAUCCUGUACUUUCAUCAAACCGUCACAUACACCCACAGAAAAACUGCAACCCUAGCAAAACAUGCUUAAACUUUCACCUACAAAAAUGAACUCACUACUAUAUCUGUGUACGUGUAGGUGUGUGUAUGUCUGUGCAUGUGUUACUCUCGCCUUGCACCUUAUUUGACCUCUCUGCUUAUGCAACCAGGCUGAGGCCAUCCUGUGUGUGAUGAUCUUAAUUUGUAUGUAAAAUGUAUAAAAAUUUAUUAAACAAAUGUUUCAACCUAAUACCACUACUUAGAACUUAAUAAAAGGUAUACAUAGAUAAAAAUAAUAAAAAGAAGAGAAUACAAAUGUAUUGUAAGCGUGUGCAAUCCUUCAAUAACUCAGGUCAUCCUCACAGUAGAUUGGCUAACCAAAAGCUUGUAACCCUCAAGAGACGACUUCUUGAGUCACAACUCCUUUAAAGACACAAAAAUGCAAUAUGUGUAAAAUAAUCAUAGGUGCACUUGCAAUGACAAAUCAUCAUAUAAUUAUACUGGCACCUGUAAAUAAAGUAAAUAAAAGUUAACCUGAAAUGAAUGCAAACUUUAAGGUAAUAUCAAUAAAUGCAUCAAUGCAAAUGCUUGUUAUGUGAUUAUGAUGCAAUAGCAAUAACAAAAUAAUGAAACUGGAAAUAGUAAAAUGAACUGAUAAAAAUGGCAGGAAAAGUAACACCUCAUUUCCUCACAAGCGUCAAAGCACUUUGAGACCAUUCUGAAACUGCAUUUUCUUUCCGCUACAGUAACACUAAAGCUAACGCUGUAGAUGACGACCCAGAAUGUGGAAUUAAACUGAAGGCUGAAUUUCUUUCUUGUGCAUACUUUAAGCAGAUGAACAGGACUGUGACAACUGUGCUUAAUACAUUCAGGUUUAUCCACUUGUCCCCCUGUGGUUUUGUUUAUAUUGAAAAUGUGAGUUAUUUCUGCGUGGUAGAUCCCACAGCGUGGGAAAGAGGGAAGGUCCACAUGUCUGAGGCAUAUUGGGGGGGUUUUUCUUCAGCUUGUGACUGGCCUCCCCCACAUGUGAGGUAUUUGUUGGAAUUUUCAGGUCAAACAAGGCCAGACCUUGGAGAACUUCACAGUACCUACUUCCUCAUAAAUCAUGCACAGUUAUAGCAACUUGGAAAAAAAACCUGCUAAAUGAUGACUCAGGAGUGAGAUAGUGGGGUCUUACAGGUCAGAG